This 348-nucleotide ribosomal RNA is filed under the name Steinernema affine. Its description in RNAcentral is "bacterial SSU rRNA". It matches the Rfam family "Eukaryotic small subunit ribosomal RNA", at positions 594 to 945 of the family's 1831-position model. Lineage: Eukaryota; Metazoa; Nematoda; Chromadorea; Rhabditida; Steinernematidae. The record is from RNAcentral.
AAAAUGUACUUAACCAUUGUUGCGGUUAAAAAGCUCGUAGUUGGAUCUACGCUGCGCGGAACGGUUCGUUCAUUGAGCGUUAACUGUUUCACGUGGCUCUCUUUUGUCGGUUUUCGGCUAGUGUCCUUAACGGGGUGUUAGUUGCGGCUGACGCUUUUACCUUGAAUAAAUUAGAGUGCUUAAAACAGGCGUUUAGCUUGAAUAUGCUAGCAUGGAAUAAUGGAAUAGGACUUUGGUUCGAUUUUAUUGGUUUUAUGAAUUGAAGUAAUGAUUAGUAGGAUCAAACGGGGGCAUCCGUAUUGAUACGUGAGAGGUGAAAUUCUGGGACCGUAGCAAGACGACCGACUG